Molecule: RNA transcript, 1202 nt
Organism: Dreissena polymorpha
Lineage: Eukaryota; Metazoa; Mollusca; Bivalvia; Myida; Dreissenidae
Exons: 3
Source: RefSeq, a predicted model, not a curated record
UUGCUGGACCCGGACUGCGUGUAUGACGCCACCAGCCACCAUGCGCCGCGAUCCCGGAGAGAGAGCCCACAGAAACCGGACGCACAUAGCGGGACCGUGGCACGGGGCGCUGUUGAUCAGAGAUUGACGCGGCAACGCCGGAUGAUCAAGCUUGCCCGGACGCGAAUGUAAUGCGCAGUAACAACAUCGACCGGAUCGCCUCCAGUCUGCACAUGCGCAGUGACAACAUCGACCGGAUCGCCCCAAGUCUGCACAUGCACAGUGACAACAUCGACCGGAUCGCAACAAGUCUACACGCGCGCAGUGACAACAUCGACCGGAUCGCCCCAAGUCUGCACAUGCGCAGUGACAACAUCGACCGGAUCGCCCCAAGUCUGCACAUGCGCAGUGACAACAUCGACCGGAUCGCACCAAGUCUGCACACGCGCAGUGACAACAUCGACCGGAUCGCCCAAAGUCUGCACAUGCGCAGUGACAACAAUGACCUGGGUCGCCCCAAGUCUGCACAAGCGCAGUGACACAAACACCACCCAGUCGGCCGAACGCCGCAGUUUUCAGUUUCCAGAACAACGAAAACGUGUCCCACUCGGAGGUGCAGUACCUAAUACAGACUCAACUCGACGUUCCUGUACGAAGUAUCCAGUUCGAUCCCCUCGAUAUCCGGUCGGCGCGACACGGGGUCAACUCCCGCUGGGUCGUCGAAUUUUGUACUAUAGCGGAUAUGGCAAAAGCUAUACAGCCGGGACUUCAAGUGGGCACGGACCGGCUGGUGUUCUACCCGCAUGAUGACGUCACUACACGCGAAAUCGCUGCCUAUAGAAACUACAUGGAGGUUGUUAACGCUCAUGCAGUGAUAGCGGCGUCUGCUGAUAACGCAGUGCGCGGGAAACUUAAAAACGCAGUUUCCAGCCGUCGACGUCACUCACGACCUUAAAGAUACUAUGAAGAUAUGAGCUAAUUGGAAUUGACUUUGAAAUCAUGUCAUUAUGCUAAUUUGUGUCGUUUGGUAUAUGUACCGUAGCACGUACCAAUAAUGACGCGAUUUUUUGAGUCAGGUUAAGAUUCAAGAGGGAUAAUUUCAUUACCGUCAUUUUAAUUCAACCAUCCACAUACAUUAAGGUACAUAUACGCUUCCUUUUUUUAGUUUCAGUUUUUGUUUGUUUUAAAUACUGUGAAUAUAAUACAUGUAUUGAUAAUAAUAA